Molecule: ribosomal RNA, 406 nt
Filed under: uncultured bacterium
Lineage: Bacteria
Description: partial 16S ribosomal RNA
Rfam family: Bacterial small subunit ribosomal RNA
Source: RNAcentral
GACGAACGCUGGCGGCGCGCUUAACACAUGCAAGUCGAGCGAAGCUGCGGACGGGUGAGUAACACGUGAGUAAACUGCCUUAGACAUUGGGAUAGCCUCGGGAAACCGGGAUUAAUACCAAAUUGUCUAAGAUGGACUCGCGUCCCAGUAGACAGUUGGGUGGUAACGGGCUACCAAGGCGGUAACGGGUAGCCGGCCUGAGAGGGUGGCCGGCCAGAGUGUGACUGCGAUACGGCCCAGACACUACGAGAGGCAGCAGUGGGGGAUAUUGCACAAGGGGCGAAAGCAAGAGGCGGAGACGCCGCGUGGGGGAUGAGGGCGUUCGGGUUGUAAACCUCGUUCGCUAUCGAACGGGUAGGUGGAGAAGAAGCGCCGGCUAACUACGUGCCAGCAGCCGCGGUAAUUC